UCCUGGUUAACCCAGGCAGUCUCGUUAGAGUUCCCACCUUUACGUGCUGGCAACUAACGAUAAGGGUUGCGCUCGUUGCUGGACUUAACCAAACACCUCACGGCACGAGCUGACGACAGCCAUGCAGCACCUGUUCACAGGCUCCGAAGAGCUGUAUCAUUUCUAAUACAUUCCUAUGUAUGUCAAGUCUGGGUAAGGUUCUUCGCGUUGCAUCGAAUUAAACCACAUACUCCACUGCUUGUGCGGGUCCCCGUCAAUUCUUUUGAGUUUCACCCUUGCGAGCGUACUCCCCAGGCGGUAUACUUAUCGCGUUUGCUUCGGCACAACCAGGGUUGAGUCCGGUUACACCAAGUAUACAUCGUUUACGGCAAGGACUAC
This 378-nucleotide unclassified non-coding RNA is filed under the name uncultured Parachlamydiaceae bacterium. RNAcentral's name for it is "contains 16S-23S intergenic spacer region". Lineage: Bacteria; Pseudomonadati; Chlamydiota; Chlamydiia; Parachlamydiales; Parachlamydiaceae. The record is from RNAcentral.